GUCCCCACCAUGGCCUGCAUGAUGCUUCUCCUUGGGCUCCUUGCUUAUGGGUCAGGGGUGGAUUCUCAGUCUGUGGUGACCCAGGAGCCAUCACUCUCAGGGUCUCCUGGAGGGACGGUCACACUCACCUGUGCCCUGAGCUCUGGCUCAGUCUCUACCAGUCACUACCCCAGGUGGUACCAGCAGACCCCAGGCCAGGCUCCACACAUGCUCAUCUGCAGCCCAAACACCUGCCCUUCUGGGGUCCCUGGUCGCUUCUCUGGCUCCAUCCUUGGGAACAAAGCUGCCCUCACCAUCACGGGGACUCAGUAGAUGAUGACUCUGAUCAUUACUGUGUGCUGUACAUGGGUAGUGGGAUCACUGUCUUCUCAGGUGGAACAGAGAUCACCAGGAGGAGAACACACUUGUAUAAACAUCUCCUCCUCUUUCAGAGCAACAAAGAUAAAAAGAGGCCUGAACCAGCAGCCUUCAUUACAGGCAAGAGUACUGUGUCCACUGUGGCCUGGACAACUGUCUUCUUCAUGCUCCACCAUUAUUGCACAGGUGAGGACAGAAUUUGGUUGUCCAGGGUGAGCUCCUUAGCUUGUCAGCCCCUCUGGCUCAGACCCCCAAGGGACUUCACCCUGGCCCCGCCCCAGCCCCCAUAUGCCUCAGCCAAUGCAGGGAUUCUGCACAUCCUUGGGCUGCAGCCUGAGGACAAGGCUUACUAUUAUUGUUGUAGCAGCUUGCAGGCUUACACAGUGCCCCAGACCCAUGGGGAAGUGAGGCGCUAA
Non-coding RNA from Homo sapiens (human), 773 nucleotides. The record is from the annotation of a RefSeq genome assembly. NCBI's taxonomy places the organism in Eukaryota, Metazoa, Chordata, Mammalia, Primates, Hominidae.